GAGAUUGUGGCUCAGUGGUGAAGCGCUUGUCUAGCACAUAGGAGGCCCUGGGUUCAAUGCUCAGCACCACA
This 71-nucleotide transfer RNA is filed under the name Marmota monax (woodchuck). RNAcentral describes it as "tRNA.Ala". Lineage: Eukaryota; Metazoa; Chordata; Mammalia; Rodentia; Sciuridae. The record is from RNAcentral.